GAUGAACGCUGGCGGCGUGCCUAAUACAUGCAAGUCGAGCGAACAGAUGAGGAGCUUGCUCCUCUGACGUUAGCGGCGGACGGGUGAGUAACACGUGGAUAACCUACCUAUAAGACUGGGAUAACUUCGGGAAACCGGAGCUAAUACCGGAUAAUAUAUUGAACCGCAUGGUUCAAUAGUGAAAGACGGUUUUGCUGUCACUUAUAGAUGGAUCCGCGCCGCAUUAGCUAGUUGGUAAGGUAACGGCUUACCAAGGCAACGAUGCGUAGCCGACCUGAGAGGGUGAUCGGCCACACUGGAACUGAGACACGGUCCAGACUCCUACGGGAGGCAGCAGUAGGGAAUCUUCCGCAAUGGGCGAAAGCCUGAGGAGCAACGCCGCGUGAGUGAUGAAGGUCUUCGGAUCGUAAAACUCUGUUAUUAGGGAAGAACAAAUGUGUAAGUAACUAUGCACGUCUUGACGGUACCUAAUCAGAAAGCCACGGCUAACUACGUG
Molecule: ribosomal RNA, 496 nt
Filed under: uncultured bacterium
Lineage: Bacteria
Description: partial 16S ribosomal RNA
Rfam family: Bacterial small subunit ribosomal RNA
Source: RNAcentral